Molecule: Y RNA, 96 nt
Filed under: Propithecus coquereli (Coquerel's sifaka)
Lineage: Eukaryota; Metazoa; Chordata; Mammalia; Primates; Indriidae
Description: Y RNA (ENSPCOG00000004147.1)
Rfam family: Y RNA
About the family: Y RNAs are components of the Ro ribonucleoprotein particle (Ro RNP), in association with Ro60 and La proteins.
Source: Rfam by way of RNAcentral
AGCUGGUCCGAUGGUAGUGGGUUAUCAGAACUUAUUAACAUCAGUGUCACUAAAGUUGGUAUUCAACCCCCCACUGCUAAAUUUGACUGGAUUUAA